UCUUCGGUAGUAUAUCGGAUAGUACACCCGCCUGUCAAGUAGUUGACGAUGAUGAUGAUGCUUCAGCUGUGCGCGGGAGAGCGGGGUUCGACUCCCCGCCGAAGAG
RNAcentral lists this transfer RNA (106 nucleotides) under Schizophyllum commune Tattone D. RNAcentral's name for it is "tRNA-Asp". It matches the Rfam family "tRNA". From Rfam's summary of the family: Transfer RNA (tRNA) molecules are approximately 80 nucleotides in length. Their secondary structure includes four short double-helical elements and three loops (D, anti-codon, and T loops). Lineage: Eukaryota; Fungi; Basidiomycota; Agaricomycetes; Agaricales; Schizophyllaceae. The record is from RNAcentral.